Long non-coding RNA from Papaver somniferum (opium poppy), 1821 nucleotides. RefSeq lists it as uncharacterized. The record is from RefSeq and is a predicted model, not a curated record. Lineage: Eukaryota; Viridiplantae; Streptophyta; Magnoliopsida; Ranunculales; Papaveraceae. The transcript is spliced from 3 exons.
UCAGAACGGAAAUCUAUUUGUCACUUUAGGGCAGAUUUAAGUUCACUUUUACAAACUACGACUGGAGUACAAAUUAGUUUUAGGUUUUUAUGUUGAUUUUUUGGUCCACUGUUUCAAUUAUGAAGAACAAUGUAAAAUUCAGCUUGGUUUGGGUUUGAAAUUCAAAUCGGUUAGGUACUUAUACUAAAUUAGGGAAAAUUGGUUGGGUUCACUGAAUUUAGGGCAAAUUGGUGAAUUCAGGGCAAAUUGGGAGGAAGCGUGGAUUAAUUGAUGGAUAAGAGCCUGCUCAUUCCGUAGGAAAUAGAGUCGAUCAGUCAUGAAAAACAUGCUGUAGUUCCCUCAAUGUAGGGAAAAUUGGUGAAUUUAGGGAAGAUUUGUUUUCAUAGACAUAUUUAAGUUCAUUUUGGUCUUAGGUUCUUAUGUUUGUUUUUUCCGUUCUACUAUUGCAUCUUAUGAAAAACAAUAUUAAAUUAAACAUGGUUUAGGUUGUUUCUACACAGAAUUUUGGUUUGUUAUCAUGAUAAUGUUCAAAUUGGUUUGCAUUUUUGUACUGCGCAAUUAAAAUUUUGGCUUUCAAUGCAACUAAAUAAUGGAGGAUAAGCUCCCUGAUCGCCAUCGAAGUCCGAGACUAAUAGCGCGACUUCAGGAAUUGAGUACAACAGAAGAUGUUGAAGAAAGGAAAUGUCAUAGACAACUUGAUGCACACCAAACAGAUUCUCAGCUGUAGCUGCGCCGAAUUUCGGUUAAAGCAAAGCAUAAUUCAAUGACCGAAAAUGAAAGGGAAGCACAUCUAGAAAGAUGUAGGAAUGCUUAUCGUAUGCAGAGAAUAAGAGCUGUUGAAAACAUAAAUAAGCAAGCCGGAACAAGUUGUAAUCAUGUAGCUAUGGAGGUUAACAGGUCCCUAGGGAUUUAAUCUUUAAGUAUGCAAAGACGCCCCAGAUGAUUUGAGCAGGUUAAAUGUAGAUUAAAUGUGGAUUUCAUGCAUAGAGGAAGUUCAUUCUCUCUUAGAUGAUUCUGGUGGAGGAAAUAUAUAUGUAAUGAUACCAUUCAUAGCAAUAGGCUUGCUGCUGCAAUAGUAAAUGGACUGCAGAAGGUUCAAUAUCUAUCGCCAGCACAGUGCGAGGACUUUUGACGAAUACACCAGUUGAGGAUCAAAAGAUGUUUCAGAAUAUUACCUGUAAUACAACCACCUCAAAGCAUGAAAUUUACCAGGUUUAACAAUGUCUGUUGACUUCAUUAAUUCACUAAUUAUGUGAGUACAAGAAUAUAUUCAAAAGAAGAAUUAGAGGAAGGAAUUUUUUUUGAAAUAAUGUUGGUUUUAGGGUUGUAGAAGCUAUGUGAACUGAAAUUUAUCCUGUGAAUCUAUGAUUCAUGCUGCAUCGUAGGUUCCAGAUUGGAUGGAAUAAAAAAUACACUGCUUCCUAAAUGUUGCAUAUGCGAGAAUGUCUUAUUUGUCUAAAUUGAAGAGAUUAUGCAAAGAAAGUCUGCUUUGCAGAUCUCAAUGUUUAUCAUCAGUUUAAAAAGUAUGUUUUGCAUCAAAUAGAAGAUAUGCAAGAACAUCUGCUUAGUCAAGCUGAACAAAGUUGUGAACUUUUAGUACGAAUGGCUGUGAUGGUGUUAUGUGGCAAUUUUGACUGUUGAGGAGGCUCAAACAGCAGGUGCAUGGAGUCUGCGUUUUAUUCUAAAUUGGUGAUGAGAAUGAAUCUUGCUUGAGUAAGGAAGUUUUUUUCGUCUUAGAUAAAUGUAGUGUCAAAUGCAUAUGAAAACACAUUUUGUAUAAAUGGAUUUUGUUGAAUGAAGAGUUUGAUUUAUUUAUUUUUA